GUGGGGAAUCUUGCGCAAUGGGCGAAAGCCUGACGCAGCCAUGCCGCGUGAAUGAUGAAGGUCUUAGGAUUGUAAAAUUCUUUCACCGGGGACGAUAAUGACGGUACCCGGAGAAGAAGCCCCGGCUAACUUCGUGCCAGCAGCCGCGGUAAUACGAAGGGGGCUAGCGUUGCUCGGAAUUACUGGGCGUAAAGGGCGCGUAGGCGGACAGUUUAGUCAGAGGUGAAAGCCCAGGGCUCAACCUUGGAAUUGCCUUUGAUACUGGCUGGCUUGAGUACGGGAGAGGUGAGUGGAACUCCGAGUGUAGAGGUGAAAUUCGUAGAUAUUCGGAAGAACACCAGUGGCGAAGGCGACUCACUGGCCCGUUACUGACGCUGAGGCGCGAAAGCGUGGGGAGCAAACAGGAUUAGAUACCCGUGUAGUCC
Molecule: ribosomal RNA, 425 nt
Filed under: uncultured bacterium
Lineage: Bacteria
Description: partial 16S ribosomal RNA
Rfam family: Bacterial small subunit ribosomal RNA
Source: RNAcentral